CCUACGGGUGGCAGCAGUGGGGAAUAUUGCACAAUGGGGGAAACCCUGAUGCAGCGAAGCCGCGUGAGUGAGGAAGUAUUUCGGUAUGUAAAGCUCUAUCAGCAGGGAAGAAAAUGACGGUACCUGACUAAGAAGCCCCGGAUAACUACGUGCCAGCAGCCGCGGUAAUACGUAGGGGGCAAGCGUUAUCCGGAUUUACUGGGUGUAAAGGGAGCGUAGACGGCUAAGCAAGUCAGAAGUGAAAACCCAGGGCUCAACCUUGGGAGUGCUUUUGAAACUGAGUAGCUAGAGUGCAGGAGAGGUAAGCGGAAUUCCUCGUGUAGCGGUGAAAUGCUUAGAUAUUAGGAGGAACACCAGUGGCGAAGGCGGCUUACUAGACUGUAACUGACGUUGAUGCUCGAAAGCGUGGGUAGCAAACAGGAUUAGAUACCCUUGUAGUC
RNAcentral lists this ribosomal RNA (440 nucleotides) under uncultured bacterium. Its description in RNAcentral is "partial 16S ribosomal RNA". It matches the Rfam family "Bacterial small subunit ribosomal RNA", at positions 338 to 795 of the family's 1533-position model. The record is from RNAcentral.